CAAGGACUUCGUCUAUGUUGUUCACGGCAGUAUCUCCAAUCCCUACAACAAUGCAUGGCACAGGCAAACAAGUGCUGAAUGAAUGACUAACUUCAGGCCUUGGGAAAGGCUCCCACAGGCAAGAGCACAUCCUACUGGAGCUGAGGAAGAAAACAAUCUGUCCAUACCCACUGCCUGGAGAAUGGUCUGUUGCCAGAAGCUGGAUGACUUCAGGUCUAGCCAAAUGCCAAGCUAUGCUAAGGGAAGUUGGGGUUCUUGUCCUGGAGAAUUGCAGAAUGGUGGGGAGAAUGUAUUGUCUAGACACUUGCAUUUCUCAGAGUUUGAAUGAAAGUGUAUUCCCCGGUUUAAUAAGAGCCUGGCAGCCUCUCCUUAUGAAUAAGGCAUAUGUGUCUAACAGAGAAAGUCUUAACCCUUGAGAGGCAGGGUAGCAUAAGAAAGAACCGGAGACCUGUCUGCUGACCCCUGCUUUUGUUCACUUACAUGCUUGCUGUGUGACCCUGGACAAAUCACUUCAUCUCUGGGUCUUUGGUUUCCUAAUGAGUGUAAUGAGAUCCUUUCCAAUUAUAAUUCUCUGUGAUUCUCCUCAUAUGUAUGGCUAUAAACCACAAUGCCCUUACUGGUCCCGCAAGUGAUAUACAAAUAAAGAGUUGCUGCUUGUUGUUUUUUU
Macaca mulatta (Rhesus monkey) is the source of this 667-nucleotide non-coding RNA. The record is from RefSeq and is a predicted model, not a curated record. NCBI's taxonomy places the organism in Eukaryota, Metazoa, Chordata, Mammalia, Primates, Cercopithecidae.